UUACGUUACAAAAACCUACAUACCUGU
RNAcentral lists this non-coding RNA (27 nucleotides) under Bombyx mori (domestic silkworm). The record is from RNAcentral. Lineage: Eukaryota; Metazoa; Arthropoda; Insecta; Lepidoptera; Bombycidae.